This 253-nucleotide ribosomal RNA is filed under the name uncultured bacterium. RNAcentral's name for it is "partial 16S ribosomal RNA". It matches the Rfam family "Bacterial small subunit ribosomal RNA", at positions 524 to 776 of the family's 1533-position model. The record is from RNAcentral.
UACGAAGGGGGCUAGCGUUGUUCGGAAUUACUGGGCGUAAAGGGCGCGCAGGCGGUCGCUCAAGUCAGGCGUGAAAGCCCCGGGCUCAACCUGGGAAUAGCGCUUGAGACUGAGCGACUUGAGUUCGGGAGAGGAGAGCGGAAUUCCCAGUGUAGAGGUGAAAUUCGUAGAUAUUCGCAAGAACACCAGUGGCGAAGGCGGCUCACUGGCCCGGUACUGACGCUGAGGUGCGAAAGCGUGGGGAGCAAACAGG